UGGGGAAUAUUGCACAAUGGGCGCAAGCCUGAUGCAGCCAUGCCGCGUGUAUGAAGACGGCCUUCGGGUUGUAAAGCACUUUCAGCGGGGAGGAAGGCGAUAAGGUUAAUAACCUUGGCAAUUGACGUUACCGACAGAAGAAGCACCGGCUAACUCCGUGCCAGCAGCCGCGGUAAUACGGAGGGUGCAAGCGUUAAUCGGAAUUACUGGGCGUAAAGCGCACGCAGGCGGUUUGUUAAGUCAGAUGUGAAAUCCCCGGGCUCAACCUGGGAACUGCAUCUGAUACUGGCAAGCUUGAGUCUCGUAGAGGGGGGUAGAAUUCCAGGUGUAGCGGUGAAAUGCGUAGAGAUCUGGAGGAAUACCGGUGGCGAAGGCGGCCCCCUGGACAAAGACUGACGCUCAGGUGCGAAAGCGUGGGGAGCAAACAGG
RNAcentral lists this ribosomal RNA (429 nucleotides) under Chloroflexota bacterium. RNAcentral describes it as "Chloroflexi bacterium partial 16S ribosomal RNA". It matches the Rfam family "Bacterial small subunit ribosomal RNA", at positions 355 to 776 of the family's 1533-position model. The record is from RNAcentral. Lineage: Bacteria; Bacillati; Chloroflexota.